CGUAGGUAAUCUACCUUCGGGUGGGGAAGUAACCCAGGGAAACUUGGGCUAACACCGCAUAAUGCAGCGGCACCACAUGGUGACAGUUGUUAAAGCGGGGGAUUUUAGGACCUCGCGCCUGAAGAGGAGCCUGCGGCGGAUUAGCUAGUUGGUGAGGUAACGGCUCACCAAGGUAACGAUCCGUAGCCGGCCUGAGAGGGCGGUCGGCCACACUGACACUGACAUACGGGUCAG
RNAcentral lists this ribosomal RNA (234 nucleotides) under uncultured bacterium. RNAcentral describes it as "partial 16S ribosomal RNA". It matches the Rfam family "Bacterial small subunit ribosomal RNA", at positions 116 to 334 of the family's 1533-position model. The record is from RNAcentral.